GCAAGGAAAAUAGCUGCCCAUGUCAAAGGAAGGUCCGAUGGAAUGCCACAGGGUGGCACUGAUACCUUCUGCUAGAAAAGCAGGUGGUUGAGUGAGCUCUCACCUGCCAAUCCCCAUGGGGAAGUCUGGAAUGGCCAGAGCUGGCCUUGGCUACUGCUCCUCAGCCUACAGGACAAGGAGCCUCUAGGUCUCGCCAUGCCUGGAAUCCUUUGUGGGGUGUGCAAAACAAGUCCCCUGGGACCCUCCGGUGCCGACGGUGGGAUGAGUCCUCCCACCCUUGCAGAGAAUGGGCCCCAACACGGCAGGGCUUGGGCCACCUUCCUCCUUCCUCCUUCUUCAUCCCCUGCCCGGUCCAGAGAGCCAACGCCACUUUCUUCAGCCACAGACAACCUCUGCCAUAGGGAAAUCCUUUUUUCGUGUCGACUUUUAAUUCACUGACUUGUGAAGAGUGGAGAGAGCGACUGAAGGCCCACCACUUGCAAGGCACUGCACCCUUGUCCUGUGCUUUCCAGGCCACAGGAAGCAGCUCCCUCUUCGGCAUGGAGAAUUUCUGCAUCAUCACCAUGGCCAGAGUCCAGCCCUGGCCUGCGAGGAAGGCCCCGGGCGGCGGAAUGGCCCAGGUGGGGCUGGAAGGGCUUGGAAGGCCUUGGAAGUGGUCAUUAAUGGAGGACAGAGCGGUGCUCGUGCAGACGGGGAGUGGAAAGUGCUGAGGCUGCCAAAAUGGAAAGUGCCUGUUAAUAGCACGCGUGACGCCUCAUAGCUCACUCGCUGACACGUGGAACCCUGGGCUUCCUGCACAACGCAGCCUGCAUGCUAAUGAUGCCAGGAGCAGCUUGCCUGGCCCUGGGGAGCUGCUCUCCGGGCUGCUUGCUUACGUGACACUGCAAAGAUCAAGGCCCAGAACAGUAGGAUGUGGAGAAGAAGGAAUCUAUUUCUGCAACCCCUUUUUCCCGCGGUCUGCACAUGAGACCUGGAGUGACGAUGACAGGAGACAGAAAGGAAGGAGCUUAUCACGGGCAUCAAAGCUGCAUCCCAGUGCUGCAAAGAUGCUGCCGGUCCCGUUGCACCACAGAGGGAACUCCUGAACCCGAGGAUCAAACCUUAAGGAGAAAAUCCAGCCAGGAAUUAAAGGAGAUACGGAGGAAGUAUCGUGGCCUUGCUGGUCCCAUUGAGGAAAGCUUAUAGGUAACUUCCCAUAAUUCCCUAACAGUGAGAGCAGUGACACCAUGGCAAUGGCCACAGACCACCUCACUUUAGGGAUGUUAUCCUUCAGAGUUUAAAGUGAGGAAGACAAAGAGGCUCAAGAAAAGUGAUCAAUGGAGUUCCUGUUGUGGCGCAGUGGAAACGAAUCCGACUAGCAACCGUGAGGUUGUGGGUUUGAUCCCUGGCCUCGCUCAGUGGGUUAAGGAUAUGGCAUUGCUGUGAACUGCGGUAUAGGUCGCAGACACGGCUCGGAUCCCGCGUGGCUGUGGCUGUGGCGUUAGCUGGACCUCUAGCUGGGAGCCUCCAUAUGUAGCAGGUGCGACCCUAAAAAGCAAAAAAAAAAAAAAAAAAAAAAAAA
This 1561-nucleotide long non-coding RNA is filed under the name Sus scrofa (pig). Its description in RNAcentral is "lncRNA (ENSSSCG00050070194.1)". The record is from RNAcentral. Lineage: Eukaryota; Metazoa; Chordata; Mammalia; Artiodactyla; Suidae.